RNAcentral lists this non-coding RNA (97 nucleotides) under Ureibacillus endophyticus. Its description in RNAcentral is "SAM riboswitch (S box leader)". It matches the Rfam family "SAM riboswitch aptamer (S box leader)". From Rfam's summary of the family: The SAM riboswitch is found upstream of a number of genes which code for proteins involved in methionine or cysteine biosynthesis in Gram-positive bacteria. The SAM riboswitch acts at the level of transcription termination control. The record is from RNAcentral. Lineage: Bacteria; Bacillati; Bacillota; Bacilli; Caryophanales; Caryophanaceae.
CUUAUCAAGAGAAGUCGAGGGACUGGCCCGAUGAAGCUUCAGCAACCAACGUAACGUAAGGUGCUAAAUCCAGCAGGCGUUAUGCCGAAAGAUAAGG